Molecule: ribosomal RNA, 465 nt
Filed under: uncultured bacterium
Lineage: Bacteria
Description: partial 16S ribosomal RNA
Rfam family: Bacterial small subunit ribosomal RNA
Source: RNAcentral
CCUACGGGAGGCAGCAGGAGGGAAUCUUACACAAUGGGCGAAAGCCUGAUGGAGCAACGCCGCGUGGGUGAAGAAGGUCUUCGGAUCGUAAAACCCUGUUGUUAGAGAAGAAAGUGCGUGAGAGUAACUGUUCACGUUUCGACGGUAUCUAACCAGAAAGCCACGGCUAACUACGUGCAAGCAGCCGCGGUAAUACGUAGGUGGCAAGCGUUAACCGGAUUUGUUGGGCGUAAAGGGAACGCAGGCUGUCUAUGAAGUCUGAUGUGAAAGCCUUCGGCUUAACCGGAGUAGUGCAUUGGAAACUGGGAGACUUGAGUGCAGAAGAGGAGAGUGGAACUCCGUGUGUAGCGGUGAAAUGCGUAGAUAUAUGGAAGAACACCAGUGGCGAAGGCGGCUCUCUGGUCUGUAACUGACGCUGAGGUUCGAAAGCGUGGGUAGCAAACAGGAUUAGAUACCCGUGUAGUC